ACCGGCUGGUCAUAGCCUGAUAGGAUAGCCUGCCAUGGCGGAUCAGAGACAGCGCUCGCUCUCCACCUCCGGGGAAUCGCUGUACCACGUUCUCGGGCUGGACAAGAAUGCGACGUCAGAUGACAUCAAGAAGUCCUAUCGGAAACUUGCCUUGAAAUAUCAUCCUGACAAGAACCCCGACAACCCCGAGGCCGCAGAGAAGUUUAAGGAGAUCAACAACGCGCACGCCAUCCUGACGGACGCCACGAAGAGGAACAUCUACGACAAGUACGGCUCGCUGGGGCUGUACGUGGCCGAGCAGUUUGGGGAGGAGAACGUGAACACCUACUUCGUGCUGUCCAGCUGGUGGGCCAAGGCCCUGUUCGUGGUCUGCGGGCUCCUCACCUGCUGCUACUGCUGCUGCUGCCUCUGCUGCUGCUUCAACUGCUGCUGCGGGAAGUGCAAGCCGAAGGCGCCCGAGGGCGAGGACGCCGCCUUCUACGUGUCCCCCGAGGACCUGGAGGCGCAGCUGCAGUCUGACGAGCGGGGCGGGCACUGACUCUGUGCCGGGAGUGUGUGUGGUGGCAGCUGGGACUGUUUGGUGUGAACGUGGACACCGGAGAGGCCACAGACACACCGAUUGUCAUACAGCCGGCGUCCGCCACGGAGACCACCCAGCUCACGGCCGACUCCCACCCCAGCUACCACACCGACGGGUUCAACUAAGCUCAGAGCUGCCGUGAUUAGAGGACGAGUCAGCGCCCG
Pteropus alecto (black flying fox) is the source of this 744-nucleotide RNA transcript. It is a transcript of the gene named DnaJ heat shock protein family (Hsp40) member C5, with no coding region annotated. The record is from RefSeq and is a predicted model, not a curated record. The transcript has 6 exons. Lineage: Eukaryota; Metazoa; Chordata; Mammalia; Chiroptera; Pteropodidae.